RNAcentral lists this unclassified non-coding RNA (163 nucleotides) under Scedosporium minutisporum. RNAcentral describes it as "internal transcribed 1". Lineage: Eukaryota; Fungi; Ascomycota; Sordariomycetes; Microascales; Microascaceae. The record is from RNAcentral.
AGAGUUACUACUCCAAACCCAUUGUGAACCUUACCUAUGUUCUGUUGCCUCGGCGGCGGGUCAGCGCCCCUCCGAAAAGAGGACGAUGCCCCCCGCCGGCAGCACCAAACUCUUGAAUUUUACAGCGGAUUACAGUUCUGAUUUGAAACAAAAAACAAGUUAA